RNAcentral lists this ribosomal RNA (631 nucleotides) under uncultured soil bacterium. Its description in RNAcentral is "bacterial SSU rRNA". It matches the Rfam family "Bacterial small subunit ribosomal RNA", at positions 53 to 664 of the family's 1533-position model. The record is from RNAcentral.
ACAUGCAAGUCGAACGUGAAAGGGCUUCGGCCUGAGUAAAGUGGCGUACGGGUGAGUAACGCGUGAGUAAUCUACCUUAAAGCCUGGAAUAACCUGCCGAAAGGCGGGCUAAUACUGGAUAGAGCGACGGAACUCGUGGAGAGUUUUUCGGGAAAGGGAGCCCGCAAGGGCCCUCACUUUAAGAUGAGCUCGCGUCCCAUUAGCUAGUUGGUGAGGUAAAAGCUUACCAAGGCAACGAUGGGUAGCUGGUCUGAGAGGAUGAUCAGCCACACUGGGACUGAAACACGGCCCAGACUCCUACGGGAGGCAGCAGUGGGGAAUCUUGCGCAAUGGACGAAAGUCUGACGCAGCGACGCCGCGUGAGUGAAGAAGGCCUGCGGGUUGUAAAGCUCUGUCAAGAGGGACGAAAAUGUUGUGGGUUAACAGCCCACGGCACUGACGGUACCUUUGAAGGAAGCACCGGCUAACUCCGUGCCAGCAGCCGCGGUAAUACGGAGGGUGCAAGCGUUGCUCGGAAUUAUUGGGCGUAAAGGGGAGGUAGGUGGUCUCGUUUGUCUGGGGUGAAAUCCCUGAGCUUAACUCACGACGUGCCUCGGAAACGGCGAGACUGGAGUACUGGAGAGGCUAGCGG